RNAcentral lists this ribosomal RNA (497 nucleotides) under uncultured bacterium. Its description in RNAcentral is "partial 16S ribosomal RNA". It matches the Rfam family "Bacterial small subunit ribosomal RNA", at positions 28 to 507 of the family's 1533-position model. The record is from RNAcentral.
GAUGAACGCUGGCGGCGUGCCUAAUACAUGCAAGUCGAGCGAACAGACGAGGAGCUUGCUCCUCUGACGUUAGCGGCGGACGGGUGAGUAACACGUGGAUACCCUACCUAUAAGACUGGGAUAACUUCGGGAAACCGGAGCUAAUACCGGAUAAUAUAUUGAACCGCAUGGUUCAAUAGUGAAAGACGGUUUUGCUGUCACUUAUAGAUGGAUCCGCGCCGCAUUAGCUAGUUGGUAAGGUAACGGCUUACCAAGGCAACGAUGCGUAGCCGACCUGAGAGGGUGAUCGGCCACACGGGAAGUGAGACACGGUCCAGACUCCUACGGGAGGCAGCAGUAGGGAAUCGUCCGCAAUGGGCGAAAGCUUGACGGAGCAAGGCCGCGUGAGUGAUGAAGGUCUUCGGAUCGUAAAACUCUGUUAUUAGGGAAGAACAAAUGUGUAAGUAACUAUGCACGUCUUGACGGUACCUAAUCAGAAAGCCACGGCUAACUACGUG